CUAGCUGUAAACGAUGGAUACUAGGCGUUGAGAGUAUCGACCCUCUCAGUGUCGUAGCUAACGCGUUAAGUAUCCCGCCUGGGGAGUACGCGCGCAGGCGUGAAACUCAAAGGAAUUGACGGGGGCCCGCACAAGCGGUGGAGUAUGUGGUUUAAUUCGAUGCAACGCGAAGAACCUUACCAGGGCUUGACAUGUCCGGAACCCUGCCCAAAGGCGGGGGUGCCUACGGGAACCGGAACACAGGUGGUGC
RNAcentral lists this ribosomal RNA (250 nucleotides) under uncultured Chroococcidiopsis sp. RNAcentral describes it as "partial 16S ribosomal RNA". It matches the Rfam family "Bacterial small subunit ribosomal RNA", at positions 796 to 1044 of the family's 1533-position model. The record is from RNAcentral. Lineage: Bacteria; Bacillati; Cyanobacteriota; Cyanophyceae; Chroococcidiopsidales; Chroococcidiopsidaceae.